UGGGACAUCGCCAAGCGGUAAGGCAUCGGGCUUUGACUCCGUCAUGCGCAGGUUCGAAUCCUGCUGUCCCAG
This 72-nucleotide transfer RNA is filed under the name Pullulanibacillus sp. KACC 23026. RNAcentral's name for it is "tRNA-Gln". It matches the Rfam family "tRNA". From Rfam's summary of the family: Transfer RNA (tRNA) molecules are approximately 80 nucleotides in length. Their secondary structure includes four short double-helical elements and three loops (D, anti-codon, and T loops). The record is from RNAcentral. Lineage: Bacteria; Bacillati; Bacillota; Bacilli; Caryophanales; Sporolactobacillaceae.